UUAGAUUAUGCUUUUCCUAGAUGUGCAGAUGUGAGAGAUAACAAACCUGUCAUUGGAGCCAAUCAAUUUGAGUUAUUAAGAUUGGUCUUAUUCAGAUGGUCCAGAAUUCACAAUUUUUGAGGUAGCCCACUUGAAAAUCCCCAUUCUCAUUUGAAAAAAUUUCCGAUGAUAUGUGGUACUUAAAGAAAACCUAAAAUUCCAAAUGAAGUGAUUCGGCUAACCUUGUUCCCAUUCUCUCUUCGA
RNAcentral lists this unclassified non-coding RNA (243 nucleotides) under Hevea brasiliensis (rubber tree). The record is from RNAcentral. Lineage: Eukaryota; Viridiplantae; Streptophyta; Magnoliopsida; Malpighiales; Euphorbiaceae.